Molecule: ribosomal RNA, 325 nt
Filed under: uncultured eukaryote
Lineage: Eukaryota
Description: partial 18S ribosomal RNA
Rfam family: Eukaryotic small subunit ribosomal RNA
Source: RNAcentral
CCCUUAGAUGUCCUGGGCCGCACGCGCGCUACACUGAUGCAUUCAACGAGUUUUACCUUGGCCGAGAGGCCUGGGCAAUCUUUUAAACCUGCAUUGUGAUAGGGAUAGAUUAUUGCAAUUAUUAAUCUUGAACGAGGAAUUCCUAGUAAACGCAGAUCAUCAAUCUGCAUUGAUUACGUCCCUGCCCUUUGUACACACCGCCCGUCGCACCUACCGAUUGAAUGGUCCGGUGAAGCCUCGGGAUUGUGGCCAGUUCACUUUAUUGGGAGUUGGCUGCGAGAACUUGUCUAAACCUUAUCAUUUAGAGGAAGGUGAAGUCGUAACA